GGUCCCAUAGUAUAACUGGAUAGUACUUCCGCCUCCUAAGCGGCCAAUUCCGGUUCGAGCCCGGAUGGGACCA
RNAcentral lists this transfer RNA (73 nucleotides) under Lactobacillus sp. Its description in RNAcentral is "tRNA-Arg". It matches the Rfam family "tRNA". Rfam says of the family: Transfer RNA (tRNA) molecules are approximately 80 nucleotides in length. Their secondary structure includes four short double-helical elements and three loops (D, anti-codon, and T loops). RNAcentral also lists the same sequence under 3 other names. Lineage: Bacteria; Bacillati; Bacillota; Bacilli; Lactobacillales; Lactobacillaceae. The record is from RNAcentral.